GUCUAGUUGUGCAUUAGACUGAAAAAAAUAAAUCUGAUCAUAAUGUCAAAGGGACUUUGUGCAUGGACCACUUCAAUGGCCUCUAAAGGCUUCCUAAAUUGUCUUUUUCUUAGGAGCAGGACUGGGCCAGUGUUCAUCUGCCACACUGGCGUCCUCAAAUCUGGAUCUGGAUCAUCUUGGUGGUCUGGAUCCUGUGGGUGCUUCUUACUGGAAGGUCACUGCAGUGCUGCUGGAAGUGUUGUCUACAAUAUGGCCGCCCUCCUUCAUGUCUGCAACUUCCACAUCGUUGGGCUCAUGGAGUGAUUUUCAAUAAAUAACUUUGAAACCGGUUUAUGCUUGUCUAUCGAACUCAUUGUGGAUAAGGAGGACUGAUGCUAUUGCUUCUCAUGUUAAGCAGUAUUUUGGUCCUCAUCCUUCAGUACCUUUGUUACUAUUUCACUAAGAAAUUGCAUGUUUUUAUUAAACAUUUUGCAUCGUAUAAGGAGUGCGGACGUAGUUGAAAUGCAACAAAAUCGCAGGGUCAAAUAGUUUUUCAGUACAGAGGAAGACAAGUUUUUGGAAAGUGAGGUCAAGGAUCCUCAAAUAUUAGUGUUAUAUCAUCUGCCAGGUUGGGUGACUGCUGUGAGGUCCAUUUAACUUGAGUACAAAGGUAAUGGUUAA
This 660-nucleotide long non-coding RNA is filed under the name Gadus morhua (Atlantic cod). Its description in RNAcentral is "lncRNA (ENSGMOG00000025362.1)". Lineage: Eukaryota; Metazoa; Chordata; Actinopteri; Gadiformes; Gadidae. The record is from RNAcentral.